Molecule: ribosomal RNA, 445 nt
Filed under: uncultured bacterium
Lineage: Bacteria
Description: bacterial SSU rRNA
Rfam family: Bacterial small subunit ribosomal RNA
Source: RNAcentral
GUAGGGAAUAUUGGACAAUGGGCGAAAGCCUGAUCCAGCCAUGCCGCGUGAUAGAUGAAGGCCCUCUGGGUUGUAAAUAUCUUUUAUCUGGGAAGAAACUCCUCUAUUCUUAGAGGCCUGACGGUACCAGAGGAAUAAGCACCGGCUAACUCCGUGCCAGCAGCCGCGGUAAUACGGAGGGUGCAAGCGUUAUCCGGAUUCACUGGGUUUAAAGGGUGCGUAGGCGGGUUGAUAAGUCAGUGGUGAAAGCUCCGGGCUUAACUUGGAAACUGCCAUUGAUACUGUCAAUCUUGAAUGUCGUAGAGGUAAGCGGAAUGUUGCAUGUAGCGGUGAAAUGCUUAGAUAUGUUACAGAACACCAAUUGCGAAGGCAGCUUACUAUGCGAUAAUUGACGCUGAGGCACGAAAGCGUGGGGAGCAAACAGGAUUAGAAACCCUUGUAGUCC